Molecule: unclassified non-coding RNA, 487 nt
Filed under: plant metagenome
Description: partial contains small subunit ribosomal RNA, internal transcribed spacer 1, and 5.8S ribosomal RNA
Rfam family: Eukaryotic small subunit ribosomal RNA (bases 1-54)
Source: RNAcentral
GGAAGUAGAAGUCGUAACAAGGUUUCUGUAGGUGAACCUGCAGAAGGAUCAUUACCGGUCCAAACAAGCCUCAUUGGUUACGCCAUUUUGAGCCGUAUCGAUGGGUCGUCCAGCCUGUAAAGGACGGAUCGUCGCCUUGCCAGGCGUACACGGUUCCCCAUUUCGAUGCGUCUUAGUGUCGGCGAGUAAUGUCCGCCUCAACGCAUUACUUGAAGUUUUUUGCCGUACACUUGUCCAUUUACCAACGGGUAUUGUUGGUGUCUGCCCUCGUAGCAUAGCAAUCGCCCGUCCGUCGGUUGCAAUGAUGCUCGAGCGACAGUUCCUCCAAAUGGUCUCUCGGGAUCAGGCGGGGUAGAGCAGACUUAAUGAGCACUGGCUAGGGUGCCGCCAACGCUUUUCACCCCCUUUAACCAUGUUUAAUCUGGAAUAUGACCAGUGAGACUACUGGCGAAAGAAACUACUCUUAGCGGUGGAUCACUCGGCUCGU